GACGAACGCUGGCGGCGUGCUUAACACAUGCAAGUCGAACGGAAAGGCCCUGCUUUUGUGGGGUGCUCGAGUGGCGAACGGGUGAGUAACACGUGAGUAACCUGCCCUUGACUUUGGGAUAACUUCAGGAAACUGGGGCUAAUACCGGAUAGGAGCUCCUGCUGCAUGGUGGGGGUUGGAAAGUUUCGGCGGUUGGGGAUGGACUCGCGGCUUAUCAGCUUGUUGGUGGGGUAGUGGCUUACCAAGGCUUUGACGGGUAGCCGGCCUGAGAGGGUGACCGGAAACAUUGGGACUGAGAUACGGCCCAGACUCCUACGGGAGGAAGAAGUGGGGAAUAUUGCACAAUGGGCGGAAGCCUGAUGCAGCAACGCAGCGUGCGGGAUGACGGCCUUCGGGUUGUAAACCGAUUUCGCCUGUGACGAAGCGUGAGUGACGGUAAUGGGUAAAGAAGCACCGGCUAACUACGU
RNAcentral lists this ribosomal RNA (467 nucleotides) under uncultured bacterium. RNAcentral's name for it is "partial 16S ribosomal RNA". It matches the Rfam family "Bacterial small subunit ribosomal RNA", at positions 28 to 506 of the family's 1533-position model. The record is from RNAcentral.